Molecule: ribosomal RNA, 433 nt
Filed under: uncultured bacterium
Lineage: Bacteria
Description: partial 16S ribosomal RNA
Rfam family: Bacterial small subunit ribosomal RNA
Source: RNAcentral
AACGAACGCUGGCGGCAUGCCUAACACAUGCAAGUCGAACGAGACCUUCGGGUCUAGUGGCGCACGGGUGCGUAACGCGUGGGAACCUGCCCUUAGGUUCGGAAUAACUCCCCGAAAGGGGUGCUAAUACCGGAUAAUGUCUUCGGACCAAAGAUUUAUCGCCUUUGGAUGGGCCCGCGUUGGAUUAGCUAGUUGGUAGGGUAAAAGCCUACCAAGGCGACGAUCCAUAGCUGGUCUGAGAGGAUGAUCAGCCACACUGGGACUGAGACACGGCCCAGACUCCGACGGGAGGCAGCAGUGGGGAAUAUUGGACGAUGGGCGAAAGCCUGAUCCAGCAAUGCCGCGUGAGUGAUGAAGGCCUUAGGGUUGUAAAGCUCUUUUACCCGGGAUGAUAAUGACAGUACCGGGAGAAUAAGCUCCGGCUAACUCCGUG